UACAGAGGUCCCAAGCGUUGUUCGGAUUCACUGGGCGUAAAGGGUGCGUAGGCGGCCAGGUAAGUUUGAUGUGAAAUCCCGCAGCUCAACUGCGGAACUGCAUUGGAUACUAUCUGGCUCGAGGAAUGGAGGGGAGACUGGAAUUCUCGGUGUAGCAGUGAAAUGCGUAGAUAUCGUAAGGAAGACCAGUGGCGAAGGCGGGUCUCUGGACAGUUCCUGACGCUGAGGCACGAAGGCCAGGGGAGCAAACGGG
This 253-nucleotide ribosomal RNA is filed under the name uncultured prokaryote. RNAcentral describes it as "partial 16S ribosomal RNA". It matches the Rfam family "Bacterial small subunit ribosomal RNA", at positions 524 to 776 of the family's 1533-position model. The record is from RNAcentral.